Cavia porcellus (domestic guinea pig) is the source of this 2304-nucleotide long non-coding RNA. RefSeq lists it as uncharacterized. The record is from RefSeq and is a predicted model, not a curated record. Lineage: Eukaryota; Metazoa; Chordata; Mammalia; Rodentia; Caviidae. The transcript is spliced from 2 exons.
GCUCUUUUCACUAAGCCAAGAUAAAGUUGUUUGAUUCAAAUCUACACAGCCUGGGUGUGCUAAGUAAGUACGCUCAGAUUGGACCAUCUCAGAUCACUGCGUUUCUGGGACAGUCCUUGGAAAAGCAAGAAGAAUCUGAAUGAGAGCUGGAGUCUCCAUAGGUAGAUAACUGGAAAGUAUUUGUUAAUUCAGCGACAGGACUAUUUGAGCUGGAGUAUCUGUAUUUACACAGAUCUCAUCAACUGAAGAACCUUCACGAGCAAAUUGCAUAAACACUAUAGGAUGAAAAUCAGCAAUUGUUGGAACAGUGGCUGCCAAGCAACUAUCAGAAGACCUCCGAUGGCAUGGGGAACUGGAUGCUACCAAGAAGCCUAAUUAAAUUGACUGUGGAAAGUGGCUUGUACAAGGAGUUAAGACUGCCAGAACCACACUAGUAGCCAGGUCUUCCUGGUAGACAGGAAGACCCAGGGCAGCUCCUCUGAAGAGGAGGACAGGGUGGCAAAUCCUGUGACCCUGCCCUUAGGGUUGACUGCUCGGCUGCUGCUGAGUGAACACAGCUCAGGCCUGCAGGAGCUGAAGGGUAUGAAGUCACCAACAAAGCUUGCUGCUGUGCUUAAUCAUUGCUGGGGCUUCUCCAGGUCAUAGAGAAUCAAGACACGGCUUAGUGAGUGGCAGUGAAUUUACAGAACUAGGGAAGCCACCAAGAAAUACAAAGCACAGACUGUGUCCUUCCAAAGCUGUUAUUUAACAAGGAGUUUCAUGGAAAAAAUACUUCUCUGUCCUCUCUGGAACCCUGAAAACCUGGAGAGGUAGACAGUUGAAAAGUAAAGAGACCCCAAAGAAUUCAAGUCUGUCCAGAUUAAGUAAAGAAAAACAAAGUUGUGGGGGUUUUUUGAAUGUUAUUUGAUGAAGAGGGAAAAAGAGCUUCUGCAUGGUUCUUUUUCAUUUUCGAAGAAUUUCCACAAUUAUCACUUCUUUAUAUACAUGGGAAAGAUGUCCAGUGGAAAGAUGGCCUAUGUGGAUGUGAUGAAAACACCAGCAGACCAGGCAGAUCUUCUCUCUCCUGAGGAAGGCCAACUUCCUUCAGGCAGCAGGCACUGAGCAGGACACUGGCCACCAAUAAAUACAGUCUUUGGUCUCCAUGAAAUUCUUUGACUGGUGGAAGGAGAGGCAGCACCUCAACACUGUUACAACGGAUGUGAUGACACAAGCCUUAGUAUCCGGUUGGAGAACAGUGGAGAAGCUCAUGCCGCUCCUCAAGCAAAGUUCACGGUGUGCAGAAGACGAGUCGAUGGCACAGCCUGGAGCAAAGAUGGAAAGUGAAGCCCCUGCACCUCUGCAGCUCUGUGACAACAUAAGGCCAAAACAGUACUCCGAGGCUGACUCGGCACCGCACUACCUGGACUGCCUGUGAGAGCAUCCUCUGACCUCUGUGUCCUCUAGGACAGCAGCUCCCACAGGGGCUGUGCCUUCAGGCUGAAUGUGCUCCUGAAAAGGCUGCUUCCUGCCUCGCUGAGAUUUUCUAUCUGAAGGAGCUCUGUAGGAGAAGAUGGGCCGACCUCCUUCUGGUACCCAUCACUUGCUCUCUGCCUUGGUCACUGAAAUCUAUCUUUCCCAGGCCAUUAUUCUUUCAGUCCCACAGCCAACCAAGAAACCAGACAGCCCCUUCACUCCUGCAGCUGUUUCCUUGGCAACAGGGCCUGGUGGAUUGUUCCCCAGUCCACCUUGUGACCAUUCGGGCCCAGCAGCAGUCUCGGGCGUGCCCAGAGGCUAGCCUGGACAGCACUGUUCUGUAUUUCCAGAGCACGUUUCAUCCAGGCACCUUGAAGCAGGAAUGCUUUCUCUACAUGGAUCUUGCCUUUUGAGAUGAAUGCUAUCAUUCCUCACAUUGUUCACAGGGAGGAAGGAAUCAGGCCAAGAUCAAAGGACCCUCUCCCGGGUUCUUUGGACCUCCUUGCCCAUUUAUUUACAGUCCCCCUCUUUUUUAUUCAGCUAAUGUCCUUGGAAGUCACUGGCAGUUACUCUUUCUGGUUGCCUUUGACACUUCCACACUACAAGGCCCGAGUCAAGAUCACAAUUAUGGAUGGUUCCCUGCUGUGGUUCCAAUCACCUUCUGGAGCCAAGUCAGGAGCUGUCACUAUGCCGCCUAAUCAGGCUUGCUGGGAGUCUCAGCCAGGAAGUGCUGAGUGCCUUCUUCUUUCUGGUGCCCACUCCUGCUCAAACCCGGGGUGCUUCUAGGCAGCGCUAAAGAGAAGUUCUGAGGAUUUUCAUUUUAGCAAAUAAACUUAAACCGAGGGUCACGUA